Molecule: long non-coding RNA, 879 nt
Organism: Apis mellifera (honey bee)
Lineage: Eukaryota; Metazoa; Arthropoda; Insecta; Hymenoptera; Apidae
Exons: 2
Source: RefSeq, a predicted model, not a curated record
UGAAAAUCAAAUAUUUCAUUAUGAUACGUUAAAUAUAGGAAAAUGUAAUUUCUUUUAAUAAAACAUAAAUCUUACUUUCUAAAAUUAAAUUUUCGCACGAAUGUGUAUAACAUAAAAGCUACGGUCGGCUCAAUGAAAUCCUAUUGGAGGGAAAUGACACGGGAGAAAACGUCUUCCACUUAAAAUAUUUUAGUUUAAAUUUUUGACAGUUAUUUUAUUUACUUGUUUUUUCUCUGUAAUUUGCUUAACGCAAAUAAAAACAAAGAAAUUUAUUACAAAAUAUAAUUAUUAACAUUCUUAUUUUUUAUUCGUAAUUAAUUGAAAGAUUUAAGUUCUCUUUUUUUGAUUUAUAACAGAAAACGUUACUUUGUGCUCAGUAUUAGAGAUAAAUAAUAAACGAUAUAAUAAAUUGUAUCGUUUGAUCCUUUUUUUUUUACGAAUCAAAUAAAUAAUUAAAAAUUUUUUUUUAUUGAAAAUUUUACACUCUAUCUUACAUUAUAUCUUUAAGAAUAUACAAAUUAUGAAAUUUAAUUGUUAUAAUUUAAUCAUCUACUUACCUCUUGAUCGAUCCGUCAUUAAUGAAGGAUAAAACAGAUGCAUGGAAUAAAGAAUUUAUUGUAAGUUUACUAUGCAUUAGGAAAUAUACAAGUUAUGAGACAACGUUUAAGUAGUUACGAUAACGUAUAUCUUGGCCCUUUAACACAUGGAACGUAACGUAAUCUUUGGUAUUGAACGAACAAUAUAACCAAUGUCCGUUAAUUUUGUUAGGCUAUUUUGUAAGUCGUGAGUUUUUGAAAAACACAUUUCAUUUAACAAAUCUAAUUAUAAUCUAAUCGAUGAAAUCUAAAAAUGAAUCGUAUUUCCUAUAAAAAAAAAAAA